AGGUGCUAAUACCGUAUAACAAUCAAAACCGCAUGGUUUUGAUUUGAAAGGCGCUUUCGGGUGUCGCUGAUGGAUGGACCCGCGGUGCAUUAGCUAGUUGGUGAGGUAACGGCUCACCAAGGCCACGAUGCAUAGCCGACCUGAGAGGGUGAUCGGCCACAUUGGGACUGAGACACGGCCCAAACUCCUACGGGAGGCAGCAGUAGGGAAUCUUCGGCAAUGGACGAAAGUCUGACCGAGCAACGCCGCGUGAGUGAAGAAGGUUUUCGGAUCGUAAAACUCUGUUGUUAGAGAAGAACAAGGAUGAGAGUAACUGUUCAUCCCUUGACGGUAUCUAACCAGAAAGCCACGGCUAACUACGUGCCAGCAGCCGCGGUAAUACGUAGGUGGCAAGCGUUGUCCGGAUUUAUUGGGCGUAAAGCGAGCGCAGGCGGUUUCUUAAGUCUGAUGUGAAAGCCCCCGGCUCAACCGGGGAGGGUCAUUGGAAACUGGGAGACUUGAGUGCAGAAGAGGAGAGUGGAAUUCCAUGUGUAGCGGUGAAAUGCGUAGAUAUAUGGAGGAACACCAGUGGCGAAGGCGGCUCUCUGGUCUGUAACUGACGCUGAGGCUCGAAAGCGUGGGGAGCAAACAGGAUUAGAUACCCUGGUAGUCCACGCCGUAAACGAUGAGUGCUAAGUGUUGGAGGGUUUCCGCCCUUCAGUGCUGCAGCUAACGCAUUAAGCACUCCGCCUGGGGAGUACGACCGCAAGGUUGAAACUCAAAGGAAUUGACGGGGGCCCGCACAAGCGGUGGAGCAUGUGGUUUAAUUCGAAGCAACCCGAAGAACCUUACCAGGUCUUGACAUCCUUUGACCACUCUAAAAAUAAAGCUUCCCCUUCGGGGGCAAAUUAACAGGUGGUGCAAGGGUUUUCCCCCACCUCGGGUCCUAAAAAUUUUGGGUUAAAUCCCCCAAAAAACGCCAACCCUUAUUGGUAUUUGCCCACAUUCCAUUUGGGCCCCUUAACAAAAAUUCCCGGGUCCAAACCCGGAAGAGAGGGGGGGGAUAACGUUCAAAAUACAAAGGCCCCUUAAAACCCGGGGGUACCACCCCGUUCCAAAAGGGGAAGUAACACCAAAUUUCCGA
This 1123-nucleotide ribosomal RNA is filed under the name Enterococcus faecium. RNAcentral's name for it is "bacterial SSU rRNA". It matches the Rfam family "Bacterial small subunit ribosomal RNA", at positions 158 to 1260 of the family's 1533-position model. The record is from RNAcentral. Lineage: Bacteria; Bacillati; Bacillota; Bacilli; Lactobacillales; Enterococcaceae.